RNAcentral lists this ribosomal RNA (253 nucleotides) under uncultured bacterium. Its description in RNAcentral is "partial 16S ribosomal RNA". It matches the Rfam family "Bacterial small subunit ribosomal RNA", at positions 524 to 776 of the family's 1533-position model. The record is from RNAcentral.
UACGGAGGGGGCUAGCGUUGUUCGGAAUUACUGGGCGUAAAGAGCUUGUAGGCGGUUUGUCGCGUCUGCUGUGAAAUUUCGGGGCUCAACCCCGAACUUGCAGUGGGUACGGGCAGACUAGAGUGUGGUAGGGGAGACUGGAAUUCCUGGUGUAGCGGUGAAAUGCGCAGAUAUCAGGAGGAACACCGAUGGCGAAGGCAGGUCUCUGGGCCAUAACUGACGCUGAGAAGCGAAAGCGUGGGGAGCAAACAGG